This 832-nucleotide ribosomal RNA is filed under the name uncultured organism. RNAcentral describes it as "bacterial SSU rRNA". It matches the Rfam family "Bacterial small subunit ribosomal RNA", at positions 624 to 1471 of the family's 1533-position model. The record is from RNAcentral.
CCAUUGAUACUGAUAUUCUUGAAUAUAGUUGAGUUGGCCGGAAUGUGUAAUGUACCGGUGAAAUGCUUAGAUAUUACACAGAACACCAAUUGCGAAGGCAGCUCACUAAACUAAUAUUGACGCUGAGGCACGAAAGCGUGGGUAGCAAACAGGAUUAGAUACCCUGGUAGUCCACGCUGUAAACUAUGAUCACUCGCUGUUGGCAAUACAUCGUCAGCGGCUGAGCGAAAGCAUUAAGUGAUCCACCUGGGGAGUACGGUCGCAAGAUUGAAACUCAAAGGAAUUGACGGGGGCCCGCACAAGCGGAGGAACAUGUGGUUUAAUUCGAUGAUACGCGAGGAACCUUACCUGGGCUUAAAUGCAGAGCGACGUCCGCCGAAAGGUGGAUUCCUUCGGGCGAUCUGCAAGGUGCUGCAUGGUUGUCGUCAGCUCGUGCCGUGAGGUGUCGGGUUAAGUCCCGUAACGAGCGCAACCCUUAUCGUUAGUUGCCAGCGGGUAAUGCCGGGGACUCUAACGAAACUGCCGGUGUAAACCGUGAGGAAGGUGGGGAUGACGUCAAAUCAGCACGGCCCUUAUGUCCAGGGCUACACACGUGUUACAAUGGUCGGUACAGAGGGCAGCUACCACGCAAGUGGAUGCUAAUCUCGAAAACCGGUCUCAGUUCGGAUUGAAGUCUGCAACUCGACUUCAUGAAGCUGGAUUCGCUAGUAAUCGCGCAUCAGCCAUGGCGCGGUGAUACGUUCCCGGGCCUUGUACACACCGCCCGUCAAGCCAUGGAAGCUUGGGGUACCUGAAGUCCGUAACCGCAAGGAGCGGCCUAGGGUAAGACAAG